Molecule: transfer RNA, 92 nt
Filed under: Acidithiobacillus ferrooxidans ATCC 23270
Lineage: Bacteria; Pseudomonadati; Pseudomonadota; Acidithiobacillia; Acidithiobacillales; Acidithiobacillaceae
Description: tRNA-Ser
Rfam family: tRNA
About the family: Transfer RNA (tRNA) molecules are approximately 80 nucleotides in length. Their secondary structure includes four short double-helical elements and three loops (D, anti-codon, and T loops).
Source: RNAcentral
UGGAGCGUUGCCAGAGAGGCCUAUUGGCGCUGCUUGGAAAGCAGAUGGUCGGGCAACCGGCACGAAGGUUCGAAUCCUUCACGCUCCGCCAA